UACAGAGGUGACAAACGUUGUCCGGAAUCACUGGGCGUAAAGGGCACGUAGGCGGUUCGGUAAGUCAGAUGUGAAAUUUUCAGGCUCAACCUGGAAACUGCAUUUGAUACUGCCGAUCUUGAGUUUGGUAGAGGAGGGCGGAAUUCCUGGUGUAGCGGUGAAAUGCGUAGAUAUCAGGAGGAACACCGGUGGCGAAGGCGGCCCUCUGGUCCAAGACUGACGCUGAUGUGCGAAAGCGUGGGGAGCAAACAGG
RNAcentral lists this unclassified non-coding RNA (253 nucleotides) under uncultured bacterium. RNAcentral describes it as "contains 16S-23S intergenic spacer region". It matches the Rfam family "Bacterial small subunit ribosomal RNA", at positions 524 to 776 of the family's 1533-position model. The record is from RNAcentral.